GGCGUGGUGGCCAAGUGGUAAGGCGUUGGUCUCAGAAACCAAAGAUCAUGGGUUCAAUUCCAUCCAUGCCU
Molecule: non-coding RNA, 71 nt
Organism: Pseudoliparis swirei
Lineage: Eukaryota; Metazoa; Chordata; Actinopteri; Perciformes; Liparidae
Source: the annotation of a RefSeq genome assembly